Long non-coding RNA from Mya arenaria, 276 nucleotides. RefSeq lists it as uncharacterized. The record is from RefSeq and is a predicted model, not a curated record. NCBI's taxonomy places the organism in Eukaryota, Metazoa, Mollusca, Bivalvia, Myida, Myidae. The transcript is spliced from 3 exons.
GUGGUUAUUUGACAAGUUUCCUGUCAGCGGUUUUCAAACUGAACAAAUAUGACAGGCUCUCUGUGUCUGUAUCCAAUCCUGAAUUGCUCGACAUUGACAAUUACAAUGAUCAUUUUCUGGUUUAUUACACUUAUGAUCUGCCGAACUAAAGUGAAUGGGACCCAUGCAAACCGCAGAGGAGAGACAGAACUGUUUCUAGCGUAACCAGUGAGCCGUGAAAUAGAUGAAGCAUUCAAACCUUACACUGAGCUUUGCCAACUCCACAAGGAGGAUGAG